CCCUUAGAGUUUGAUCCUGGCUCAGGAUAAACGCUGGCGGCGUGCUUCAGGCAUGCAAGUCGAACGGACCUUCGGGUCAGUGGCGGACGGGUGAGUAACACGUGAGCAACCUGCCCAGAAGUGGGGAAUAACUUGCCGAAAGGUGAGCUAAUACCGCAUGUGAUGGAUCUUCCCUGGAGGGUUCAUUAAAGGCUUCGGCCGCUUUUGGAGGGGCUUGCGCUCGAUUAGCUAGUUGGUGGGGUAAAGGCCUACCAAGGCAACGAUCGAUAGCUGGUCUGAGAGGACGGUCAGCCACACGGGGACUGAGAUACGGCCCCGACUCCUACGGGAGGCAGCAGCUAGGAAUCUUGGGAAUGGGCGAAAGCCUGACCCAGCAACGCCGCGUGGGCGAUGAAGGCCUUAGGGUCGUAAAGCCCUUUUGCGGGGGACGAUGAUGACGGUACCCCGCGAAUAAGCCACGGCUAACUACGUGCCAGCAGCCGCGGUAAUACGUAGGUGGCGAGCGUUGUCCG
Molecule: ribosomal RNA, 512 nt
Filed under: uncultured bacterium
Lineage: Bacteria
Description: bacterial SSU rRNA
Rfam family: Bacterial small subunit ribosomal RNA
Source: RNAcentral